This 427-nucleotide ribosomal RNA is filed under the name uncultured bacterium. Its description in RNAcentral is "partial 16S ribosomal RNA". It matches the Rfam family "Bacterial small subunit ribosomal RNA", at positions 355 to 774 of the family's 1533-position model. The record is from RNAcentral.
UGGGGAAUAUUGCACAAUGGGCGCAAGCCUGAUGCAGCCAUGCCGCGUGUAUGAAGAAGGCCUUCGGGUUGUAAAGUACUUUCAGCGGGGAGGAAGGUGUUGAGGUUAAUAACCUCAGCAAUUGACGUUACCCGCAGAAGAAGCACCGGCUAACUCCGUGCCAGCAGCCGCGGUAAUACGGAGGGUGCAAGUGUUAAUCGGAAUUACUGGGCGUAAAGCGCACGCAGGCGGUCUGUCAAGUCGGAUGUGAAAUCCCCGGGCUCAACCUGGGAACUGCAUUCGAAACUGGCAGGCUAGAGUCUUGUAGAGGGGGGUAGAAUUCCAGGUGUAGCGGUGAAAUGCGUAGAGAUCUGGAGGAAUACCGGUGGCGAAGGCGGCCCCCUGGACAAAGACUGACGCUCAGGUGCGAAAGCGUGGGGAGCAAACA